AACGAACGCUGGCGGCGUGCCUAACACAUGCAAGUCGAGCGGGAAAGUCCCCUUCGGGGGGCGAGUAUAGCGGCGAAUGGGUGAGUAACACGUAGGUAACCUGCCCUGGAGAUCGGGAUAACCCAUCGAAAGACGGGCUAAUACCGGAUGAGACCACGGGGUCUUCGGACCUUGGGGGAAAAGGUGGCCUCUGCUUGCAAGCUACCACUUCAGGAUGGGCCUGCGAGCCAUUAGCUUGUUGGUGAGGUAACGGCUCACCAAGGCAAAGAUGGCUAGCUGGUCUGAGAGGACGAUCAGCCACACUGGAACUGGUACACGGUCCAGACUCCUACGGGUGGCUG
RNAcentral lists this ribosomal RNA (341 nucleotides) under uncultured Pseudomonadota bacterium. RNAcentral's name for it is "bacterial SSU rRNA". It matches the Rfam family "Bacterial small subunit ribosomal RNA", at positions 29 to 351 of the family's 1533-position model. Lineage: Bacteria; Pseudomonadati; Pseudomonadota. The record is from RNAcentral.